Molecule: ribosomal RNA, 497 nt
Filed under: uncultured bacterium
Lineage: Bacteria
Description: partial 16S ribosomal RNA
Rfam family: Bacterial small subunit ribosomal RNA
Source: RNAcentral
GAUGAACGCCGGCGGCGUGCCUAAUACAUGCAAGUCGAGCGAACAGACGAGGAGCUUGCUCCUCUGACGUUAGCGGCGGACGGGUGAGUAACACGUGGAUAACCUACCUAUAAGACUGGGAUAACUUCGGGAAACCGGAGCUAAUACCGGAUAAUAUAUUGAACCGCAUGGUUCAAUAGUGAAAGACGGUUUUGCUGUCACUUAUAGAUGGAUCCGCGCCGCAUUAGCUAGUUGGUAAGGUAACGGCUUACCAAGGCAACGAUGCGUAGCCGACCUGAGAGGGUGAUCGGCCACACUGGAACUGAGACACGGUCCAGACUCCUACGGGAGGCAGCAGUAGGGAAUCUUCCGCAAUGGGCGAAAGCCUGACGGAGCAACGCCGCGUGAGUGAUGAAGGCCUUCGGACCGUAAAACUCUGUUAUUAGGGAAGAACAAAUGUGUAAGUAACUAUGCACGUCUUGACGGUACCUAAUCAGAAAGCCACGGCUAACUACGUG